CGGUUCUACAAGUCCUCCGAUAAAUCCACCUGCUUAACGGAUGGGCUGCGGGGGAUACUGCAGAGCUAGGAGGCGGGAGAGGCAAACGGUACUCAGUGGGUAGGGGUAAAAUCCUUUGAUCUACUGAAGACCACCAGUGGCGAAGGCGGUUUGCCAGAACGCGCUCGACGGUGAGGGAUGAAAGCUGGGGGAGCAAACCGGAUUAGAUACCCGGGUAGUCCCAGCUAUAAACGAUGCAGACUCGGUGAUGAGUUGGCUUUAUGCCAACUCAGUGCCGCAGGGAAGCCGUUAAGUUUGCCGCCUGGGGA
RNAcentral lists this ribosomal RNA (308 nucleotides) under uncultured archaeon. RNAcentral's name for it is "bacterial SSU rRNA". It matches the Rfam family "Archaeal small subunit ribosomal RNA", at positions 526 to 834 of the family's 1478-position model. The record is from RNAcentral.